Small nucleolar RNA from Tripterygium wilfordii, 87 nucleotides. RefSeq annotates it as small nucleolar RNA Z159/U59. NCBI's taxonomy places the organism in Eukaryota, Viridiplantae, Streptophyta, Magnoliopsida, Celastrales, Celastraceae. The record is from RefSeq and is a predicted model, not a curated record. The transcript has a single exon.
GUCUCUGAUGAUGAUUUACAUUAAAACUUUCGUUCUUCUGAGAAAUUCUCCUUGCGGAAAUUUAUUGGAGACCUGAACUGAAGAGAC